Molecule: ribosomal RNA, 372 nt
Filed under: uncultured organism
Description: partial 16S ribosomal RNA
Rfam family: Bacterial small subunit ribosomal RNA
Source: RNAcentral
GGGGGGGGCAAGCGUUGUUCGGAACUACUGGGCGUAAAGGGCGCGCAGGCGGCCUGGCAAGUCCUACGUGAAAUCCCACAGCUUAACUGUGGAACUGCGUGGGAUACUGCCAGGCUUGAGUCCGGGAGAGGAGAGUGGAAUUCCCAGUGUAGCGGUGAAAUGCGUAGAUAUUGGGAGGAACACCGGUGGCGAAGGCGGCUCUCUGGACCGAUACUGACGCUGAGGCGCGAAAGCUAGGGGAGCAAACGGGGGAUUAGAUACCCCGGUAGUCCUAGCCGUAAACUUUGAGCACUUUGUGUGGCGGGUAUCGACCCCUGCCGUGCAGAAGCUAACGCAUUAAGUGCUCCGCCUGGGGAUACGGUCGCAAGGCUG